UAAGACGUAGGAGGCGAGCGUUAUCCGGAUUUACUGGGCGUAAAGGGCAAGUAGGCGGUGAUGCAAGUCAGUUGUGACAGAUCCCGGCUCAACUGGGAAAGGACGAUUGAGACUGCAUAACUAGAGGGCAGGAGAGGGGAGCGGAAUUCCUUGUGUAGCGGUGGAAUGCUCAGAUACAAGGAGGAACACCAGUGGCGAAGGCGGCUCUCUGGCCUGCACCUGACGCUGAAGAGCGAAAGCUAGGGGAGCGAACGGG
This 256-nucleotide ribosomal RNA is filed under the name uncultured bacterium. RNAcentral's name for it is "partial 16S ribosomal RNA". It matches the Rfam family "Bacterial small subunit ribosomal RNA", at positions 521 to 776 of the family's 1533-position model. The record is from RNAcentral.